This 404-nucleotide ribosomal RNA is filed under the name uncultured Stappia sp. RNAcentral describes it as "bacterial SSU rRNA". It matches the Rfam family "Bacterial small subunit ribosomal RNA", at positions 378 to 774 of the family's 1533-position model. Lineage: Bacteria; Pseudomonadati; Pseudomonadota; Alphaproteobacteria; Hyphomicrobiales; Stappiaceae. The record is from RNAcentral.
CAAGCCUGAUCCAGCCAUGCCGCGUGCAGGAUGAAGGCCUUCGGGUUGUAAACUGCUUUUGUACGGAACGAAAAGACUCUGGUUAAUACCUGGGGUCCAUGACGGUACCGUAAGAAUAAGCACCGGCUAACUACGUGCCAGCAGCCGCGGUAAUACGAAGGGGGCUAGCGUUGUUCGGAAUUACUGGGCGUAAAGCGCACGUAGGCUGACUUUUAAGUCAGGGGUGAAAUCCCGGGGCUCAACCUCGGAACUGCCUUUGAUACUGGAAGUCUUGAGUCCGAGAGAGGUGAGUGGAACUCCGAGUGUAGAGGUGAAAUUCGUAGAUAUUCGGAAGAACACCAGUGGCGAAGGCGGCUCACUGGCUCGGUACUGACGCUGAGGUGCGAAAGCGUGGGGAGCAAACA